GAUGAAGAACGUAGCGAAAUGCGAAAAGUAGUGUGAAUUGCAAAUUCAGUGAAUCAUCGAGUCUUUGAACGCACAUUGCGCCCCCUGGUAUUCCGGGGGGCAUGCCUGUCCGAGCGUCAUUGCUGCCCUCAAGCACGGCUUGUGUGUUGGGCCCCGUCCUCCGAUCCCGGGGGACGGGCCCGAAAGGCAGCGGCGGCACCGCGUCCGGUCCUCGAGCGUAUGGGGCUUUGUCACCCGCUCUGUAGGCCCGGCCGGCGCUUGCCGAUCAACCCAAAUUUUUAUCCAGGUUGACCUUGGAUCAGGUAGGGAUACCCGCUGAACUUAAGCAUAUCAAUAAGCGGAGGA
This 345-nucleotide unclassified non-coding RNA is filed under the name soil metagenome. RNAcentral's name for it is "partial contains 5.8S ribosomal RNA, internal transcribed spacer 2, and large subunit ribosomal RNA". The stretch from base 1 to 119 matches the Rfam family "5.8S ribosomal RNA", at positions 35 to 154 of the family's 154-position model. The record is from RNAcentral.